Molecule: ribosomal RNA, 686 nt
Filed under: uncultured Actinomyces sp.
Lineage: Bacteria; Bacillati; Actinomycetota; Actinomycetes; Actinomycetales; Actinomycetaceae
Description: partial 16S ribosomal RNA
Rfam family: Bacterial small subunit ribosomal RNA (bases 20-324)
Source: RNAcentral
GAUGAACGCUGGCUACAGGCUUAACACAUGCAAGUCGUGGGGAAACGGCAUUAUGUGCUUGCACAUUCUGGACGUCGACCGGCGCACGGGUGAGUAUCGCGUAUCCACCUGCCCCUUACUUGGGGAUACCCCGUUGAAAGACGGCCUAAUACCCGAUGUGUUUCAUUGACGGCGUCCUAUUUGAAACAAAGGUUUUUCCGGUAAGGGAGGGGGAUGCGUCUGAUGGCUUGUUGGCGGGGCAACGGCUCAUAAGGGACGAUAGUAGGGGUCGGAGAGUGAGGCCCCCGAUUGGAACUGAAAACGGUGCAACGCCUCGGGAGUGAGUGUUAGGAUAUUGGGUGUUGUGGAAGUUUAUGCUUUUAGUGUGUUGAGGGUGUGGGGUGCUUGGGUGGUUUGGCCUUAUUGGGAGGAAUGGGUUUGGUGGGCUUUGGUUGUUCUGUUGAUUUGGUCGCUUUUUCUUGAUCUACAGUUUUUAGGGAGUUUAUUGUUUGUUUUUUGUUGUUUAUAGUGUGUUUGGUGUUGUGUUUGUUUUUGUUUUUGGAUUGUCUUUUGGUGUGUUUGAAUUUGAUGGUGGUGUGGGGAUAGCGUGUGUGUGUGUUUUCGUUCUGGUAGAUCUGGGGGUGUGUUGGUGUUGGGUGUUUGUGGGUGUUGGUGUGUUGUGUGAUGUUAAUUUGAUUGCCUGGUGU